This 500-nucleotide ribosomal RNA is filed under the name Salmonella enterica. Its description in RNAcentral is "partial 23S ribosomal RNA". It matches the Rfam family "Bacterial large subunit ribosomal RNA", at positions 668 to 1165 of the family's 2925-position model. Lineage: Bacteria; Pseudomonadati; Pseudomonadota; Gammaproteobacteria; Enterobacterales; Enterobacteriaceae. The record is from RNAcentral.
GAAGGGAAACCGAGUCUUAACCGGGCGUUAAGUUGCAGGGUAUAGACCCGAAACCCGGUGAUCUAGCCAUGGGCAGGUUGAAGGUUGGGUAACACUAACUGGAGGACCGAACCGACUAAUGUUGAAAAAUUAGCGGAUGACCUGUGGCUGGGGGUGAAAGGCCAAUCAAACCGGGAGAUAGCUGGUUCUCCCCGAAAGCUAUUUAGGUAGCGCCUCGUGAAUUCAUCUCCGGGGGUAGAGCACUGUUUCGGCUAGGGGGCCAUCCCGGCUUACCAACCCGAUGCAAACUGCGAAUACCGGAGAAUGUUAUCACGGGAGACACACGGCGGGUGCUAACGUCCGUCGUGAAGAGGGAAACAACCCAGACCGCCAGCUAAGGUCCCAAAGUCAUGGUUAAGUGGGAAACGAUGUGGGAAGGCCCAGACAGCCAGGAUGUUGGCUUAGAAGCAGCCAUCAUUUAAAGAAAGCGUAAUAGCUCACUGGUCGAGUCGGCCUGCGCG